This 699-nucleotide long non-coding RNA is filed under the name Daucus carota (carrot). RNAcentral's name for it is "long non-coding RNA (DCAR_LNC000332)". The record is from RNAcentral. Lineage: Eukaryota; Viridiplantae; Streptophyta; Magnoliopsida; Apiales; Apiaceae.
GCGUCGGUGGCUGAUGGAACGGAGGCACCGCCUAGGCUUGGCGUGGGAGCUGCGGUGGGUGAUGCAGGAGGGGUUGUUAGAGAGGGAAGUGGCGACGGAGAGGCGGGCUUGGUUGGGGCUGGUGCUGGAGAUGAUGCUGGCGGGGGGACUGCGGGAGGAGGUGGAGUGGGGGAUGGAGGUGGUGGGGUGGUGGGAGCUGGUGGUGGAGUGGAGACUGGAGGAGGGGUUGCUGGUGGUGUGGAGACUGGUGGGGGAAUGUUGGCGGGAGGUGGCGUAGUGGAGGCCGGAGGAGCGGUGACGACUGGAGGUGGAGAGGUGGUGGGAGGUGAAGGGGUGGUGGUUGGUGGGGUUUGAGGGGUGGGGGGAGCUUGGGUGGUUGGUGGUGUUUGGGGUGUGGAUGGUGGUGAUUGCGGUGUGGGUGGUGCUUGGGUGGUUGGUGGUGAUUGAGGGGUGGGUGGUGCCUGGGUGGUCGGUGGUGCUUGGGUGGUUGGUGGUGCCUGUGUAAUAGGUGGUGCUUGGGUGGUUGGUGGUGCUUGUGUGGUGGGUGGGGUCUGCGUGCUUGGCGGGGCUUGGGUGGUGGGAGGAGAUUGAGCAGAGACAGCAACAAUGGCAAUGCAGAUGAAACCUAAGAAAAUGAUAGUGUUAUGACAAGUCAUGUCUGCCUUGAGCAUGAAGAGAGAACAAUAAGGUAAUGUAUGA